This 1319-nucleotide ribosomal RNA is filed under the name uncultured Neocallimastigales. Its description in RNAcentral is "partial large subunit ribosomal RNA". The record is from RNAcentral. Lineage: Eukaryota; Fungi; Neocallimastigomycota; Neocallimastigomycetes; Neocallimastigales.
UAUCUCUGUAGAGUCUGCAUAUCAAUAAGCGGAGGAAAAGGUAGACGGUGUGUUUACCGGCUAUUCCGAUGUAAACCUGUUUUCCUGCCGCUCUCUGUGUGACAAGCUGGGUCUGCCCUUCUACGGUACCGUAGGCCAGAUCAAAAAGACCACCGACAAGCUCCUGUUCAAGGAAAUGUGCCGCAAGUACGGCGUAGGUACGGUGCCUCAGUACAGUGAAGACGAUCUGGCGGAGAUUCCCUAUCCCAUUAUCAUCAAGCCCGCAGACAGCUACGGCAGCAAGGGUAUUUCCGUGUGCUAUUCCUAUGAGGAAACGCCCCCUGCUGUGGAAAAGGCAAGAGAAUAUUCCAAGACCAGUCAGAUUAUUGUUGAGAAAUAUAUGGGUGCCUGUGAAGUUGUGAACUUCGACUAUGUGAUGCAGGACGGUAAGAUUCUGCUGAGUGCCGUUGGCGACCGCUAUGUCAACACGGAGCAGAAGGGCCUGUCUCCUCUGACCGCUGCGGGAGUGUAUCCCUCCAAGUAUCUGAAGGAGUACAUUGAGCGGCAGGAUGCGAAUGUCAAGAAGAUGUUCUAUGAAGAGGGUAUGCACAACGGUACCGCGUUUAUCCAGGCUUUCUUCGAUGGUGAACAGUUCUAUGUAUUCGAGAUGGGAUACCGCACCGGUGGCGGACAGGGUUCCAUUCCCCUGAAGGUGAUUUGCGACCUGGAUUACGUGGAAUAUCUGAUCAACUUUGCUCUGACCGGGAAGAUGUCUGAAAAAGAUCUGGAGCAGUAUGCCAAUCCCUCCUACGAAAAGCGUUCCUGUGCGCUGGUGGUGAUUCUGAAGAGCGGCACCAUUGCCAAGAUUGAGGGUCUGGAGGAAAUUGCCGCUAUGCCCCAGAACAUUAAUAUUACCCAGUUCUAUGACGAGGGUGAAACUGUGGAGCAACGGGUAAUUGGCAAUCUGGGUCAGAGCCUGUGUAGAAUGCACUUUGUGGCGGACAAUUGGCAGGAACUGUACGACGCAGUGCAGUUUGCCAACCGCACGUUGAAGGUCACCUCUACCGAGGGUGAAAACAUGAUCGUUGCCGGCGGCUUUAACGGCGAGGCACUGCUGGGGCGCUAAAAUCUCCGCCUACCGGUAUCGGUAGGGGAAAGAAUAGAGAAUUGGAUGGUGUCCAGAUGAAAAUCCUGAUGUUGGUGAGCUAUCAUAAACCGGAAACUGCGGCGAGCUCCUAUCUGGGAGAGAAUCGUCGUGAAGCGUUUGCAAAAGCAGGAUUUGACAUGGUGCUCCAUACACCUGUACCUACGCUUAGGAUGUUGACUGAUAUGUAGUCGUA